UCGAUCAGAGGAGAAGGAGGGAGGGGUGCAAACCCUAACCCUCAAGAAACCAUCAAAUUGGGAAGAAAUCUCGAGGAAGAUCGGAUGCAUGAACCUGAAAUGUUGACCAUUUAAGUGUCUCUAACACAAGGAAUCAUGUCGAGACGGAAUCAAGCAUUGAAGGCUAACGGGUCAAGAAGUGGCAAGGAAACAAAUAUGAACACGGAUGCAUGAGGUAGUACGAGUCACGAAGGAUCAUCAAAGAGUCGAGAUCGAAGACCGAGUCACAAAUGAGAUUGUACGGGAACGUUGAUGCCUAUAAUGUAGUAAACAUAAGC
Long non-coding RNA from Helianthus annuus (common sunflower), 317 nucleotides. RefSeq lists it as uncharacterized. NCBI's taxonomy places the organism in Eukaryota, Viridiplantae, Streptophyta, Magnoliopsida, Asterales, Asteraceae. The record is from RefSeq and is a predicted model, not a curated record. The transcript has 3 exons.